This 2510-nucleotide long non-coding RNA is filed under the name Medicago truncatula (barrel medic). RNAcentral's name for it is "lncRNA gene24046". Lineage: Eukaryota; Viridiplantae; Streptophyta; Magnoliopsida; Fabales; Fabaceae. The record is from RNAcentral.
UAAAACCCUGAAGAUAAUUUGCAGUUUGUAAGGAUCAUGUAACCUCAAACGGAACAAUAAUCUUUCAAAACUUGUCUAGCAAGAUCGAGAGCACCACUCUUUUUGUAAAUUAAAUGUAGAUUGUAAGCUGCCUCUCUGCGAAGGUCACAGUAACCAGUGUUACAAGACCAACAUGAUGGUAUGCGCGAGCUAUGUUAUAUAAAGAUUCCUGCAAGGCUGGGCAAUCAAUUAGUUCAGUAGAUUCCUGCAAGGCAUGGCAAUCAGUCAGUUCAGUUUUACCUUAUUAAUGUAUAAAAUAAAGUAAAAAACUCAUGACAAGAAUCAACCAGCUGUAAGUUUUUUAUCUGAUAAACUACCACAAAUAUUUUGAUGUGCAUUUAUUCAAGGAUCCACAAGGUGAAAUUUCAGCAGUUGACACAUUCCAACAAAUCUAAGAAACUGUCAACUUAAUUAGAAUGUAGAAACCAACUCAAAAUAUUAAAUCAUGAUCAAAUUCUAUCAUUGGAGAUAUUAAAUGUUUUGAGAUGCAGUCAUUUAAAUUCUAUCAGUCCCCAGUGCUGCUGGUGCUGAUAUCUUUUACCCAUUCAAUUACAUUUACCUACUGAAUCCCUUUGGGUGAAAGGGCUAAUCUUUAUUAUUAGAAAAAACAAAGAAAAUUGACAAUAUGAAUAGGAGAAUUUAAACAAGUAAUAUGGAAACCAAUCCUAGGAGAUAAUCUAAAUACUUUAAGAUUAGAAAUUGAUCAUAGGAGAUAAACUAUAAAAGUCAAAGAUAUUUUAACCCCCCCCCCAAUCAAGCUUAAGCUUACUCAACCUAAGCCUGAUCUUCUUAAUCUUGAUAAAGAAAACAUUACAUUUUGCUGCAUGUAGAAUUAAUGGUUGGGAAGGCAACUUAGGGAUGCUACAGAAGUCGGGUAGAAUUGUUAUAAAGAUAAGUUGGACAGAUAGAUGGCAUGAUCUUAAGUCGGAAAUUUUUUAGGCAGGCAAUUAUGCAAAGAUAGACGCCCUUCUCAAAACCAUAUUUAUAAACUUUAAACCAAUAAUAUAGUAGACCCAAAUAUUUAAACCAACUCUUAAAACCGUUUCUCCUACAAAGGCCACGUCAGUGCAUCUGGGACAAAGGCUGAAGCUAGUGCAUUUGGGACGAAGGAUGAGGCCAAGGCAGUGCAUCUUGGAACAGGAUGAGUAGUGCAUUGGGAAAAACGCUGAGGCUGAGGCCAAAGCAUCUCGGAUAGAGAGCCUGGCUAGAGUGAGUCAUAUCCAACAAAAGUCACCAUCAAAAUGCCCAUCGACGGGAAAGAAGACAUAACCAAAAUGAUCAUUAGUGGGAAUCAAAGACGUUGAUAUGAUCAUUAGUGGGAAUCGAAGAUUUCAAUAAAAUAAAGUCUGAACACAAUUUGUUAAAGUUAAGAAUCUUUAGAUAUUCCUUUAAUUGUACAACUUCCUAGAUUGAUUGUAAUUACUCCUAUAUUCAACUUCCUAGGCUAGUGAUUAAUUUAGCAUUUAAUGCAUUUAUUGUAAAACCAUUAUAUAUACAAGGUGUGUGAUCUCAUUAGACACACAACUUACACAAAAUUUACAUAUCUUUACACAACUGUUAUUACAAUCCAAAACUUUUGUGAACUUUUCAGCAGAAUGGUGACGAGACAAGUCACGGAGGAUCAAACCAGGCUCUAGAAACCAUGUUGAAGUUAUGAGUUUUGGACAAAGGGAGGAGACAAAUGAUAGGUCUUAGGAAUUGUGGUUAGGCCUAACACGACCUCACAAAACCGGCUUGUGAGGUGAAGACGCCCCUAAUUAUAAACACUUGUUCAGGCAAUCUCUCAUCCAAUGCGGGACUCUUAACAAUAAGAACUUAGAAUACUAUUGUUAAUAACUUGAUAUUGAUUUAAUAUAAAAGACUAAACACUAACAUCUAUUUAUAGGGAUAUAAAACUCCUAAUCUUAAAUAAAUAAAAACAUCAAGAGACAAAUCAUGAUACUACCUCCGUCCCUAAUUAUAAGACCCUUUUGAGAAAUUUUUUUGUCCCUUUUUAUAAGACCCUUUUGGUAUUUCCAAGUACAUUAAUUAUUUCUUUACCAAGAUACCUUAUUUAUUUUGCAUCUUUUUCUUCAAUCAACAAUAAAUAUUAUGUUGAAAACAUAAAUUAACUCGCUCUCUUAAGGAUAAAAUUGUAAAAACAAUAGUAAUUACAUACAAAUUUAAUGCUACAACCAACUUUCUUAAUCUCUGUAAUUUUUGCAAAAGGCUCCUAUAAUUAGGGACGGAGGUAGUAAUAACUACUCCCUCCGUCUCACAAUAAUAGUCUCUUUAGCAUUUUUUUUUUCUUCUCAAAAUAAUUGUCUCUUUAGAAUACCAAUACAACAUUUAUUAUUUUUUUUCCCAUUAUUAUACCCUUAUUUAUUGAAUUUCAUCAAACUUAACUAACUGCAAUUAAUAAGGGUAUUUUAGUAAAUGAUAUUAAUUUUACCAUUGAAAUCAACACAAUCAAUCAUUUCCUUAAUAAUCGU